RNAcentral lists this ribosomal RNA (502 nucleotides) under uncultured Marmoricola sp. RNAcentral's name for it is "partial 16S ribosomal RNA". It matches the Rfam family "Bacterial small subunit ribosomal RNA", at positions 1 to 526 of the family's 1533-position model. The record is from RNAcentral. Lineage: Bacteria; Bacillati; Actinomycetota; Actinomycetes; Propionibacteriales; Nocardioidaceae.
UAGAGUUGAUCAUGGCUCAGGACGAACGCUGGCGGCGUGCUUAACACAUGCAAGUCGAGCGGUAAGGCCCUUCGGGGUACACGAGCGGCGAACGGGUGAGUAACACGUGASCMMYCYSCCCYCCACAUCGGGAUACCCCCCGGAAACGGGAGCUAAUACCGGAUACGACCACUUCAGGCAUCUGAUGGUGGUGGAAAGUUCCGGCGGUGGAGGAUGAGCUCGCGGCCUAUCAGCUUGUUGGUGGGGUAAUGGCCCACCAAGGCUUCGACGGGUAGCCGGCCUGAGAGGGUGACCGGCCACACUGGGACUGAGACACGGCCCAGACUCCUACGGGAGGCAGCASUSSGGAAUAUUGGACAAKGGGCGAAAGCCUGAUCCAGCAACGCCGCGUGAGGGAUGACGGCCUUCGGGUKGUAAACCUCUUUCAGCGCAGASGAAGCGAAAKUGACGGUAUGCGCAGAAGAAGCMCCSGCCAAYUACGUGCCAGCCGCCGCGGUAAUUC